GGUGGCUCAGUGCUAGAGCGCUUGCCUUGCAUGCAUGAGGUCCUGGGUUCGAUUCCUCAGCACCA
This 65-nucleotide transfer RNA is filed under the name Dipodomys ordii (Ord's kangaroo rat). It matches the Rfam family "tRNA". From Rfam's summary of the family: Transfer RNA (tRNA) molecules are approximately 80 nucleotides in length. Their secondary structure includes four short double-helical elements and three loops (D, anti-codon, and T loops). Lineage: Eukaryota; Metazoa; Chordata; Mammalia; Rodentia; Heteromyidae. The record is from Rfam by way of RNAcentral.